RNAcentral lists this ribosomal RNA (253 nucleotides) under uncultured bacterium. RNAcentral describes it as "partial 16S ribosomal RNA". It matches the Rfam family "Bacterial small subunit ribosomal RNA", at positions 524 to 776 of the family's 1533-position model. The record is from RNAcentral.
UACGAAGGGGGCUAGCGUUGCUCGGAAUCACUGGGCGUAAAGCGCACGUAGGCGGGUCUUUAAGUCAGAGGUGAAAUCCUGGAGCUCAACUCCAGAACUGCCUUUGAUACUGGAGACCUUGAGUUCGGGAGAGGUGAGUGGAACUGCGAGUGUAGAGGUGAAAUUCGUAGAUAUUCGCAAGAACACCAGUGGCGAAGGCGGCUCACUGGCCCGAUACUGACGCUGAGGUGCGAAAGCGUGGGGAGCAAACAGG